UACGGAAGGCAGCAGGGGGAAUAUUGCACAAUGGGCGCAAGCCUGAUGCAGCCAUGCCGCGUGUAUGAAGAAGGCCUUCGGGUUGUAAAGUACUUUCAGUCGUGAGGAAGGUGUUAAGGUUAAUAACCUUAGCAAUUGACGUUAGCGACAGAAGAAGCACCGGCUAACUCCGUGCCAGCAGCCGCGGUAAUACGGAGGGUGCGAGCGUUAAUCGGAAUUACUGGGCGUAAAGGGCACGCAGGCGGUUAAUUAAGUUGGAUGUGAAAUCCCCGGGCUUAACCUGGGAAUGGCAUUCAAGACUGGUUAGCUAGAGUCUUGUAGAGGGGGUUAGAAUUCCAUGUGUAGCGGUGAAAUGCGUAGAGAUGUGGAGGAAUACCGGUGGCGAAGGCGGCCCCUGGACAAAGACUGACGCUCAUGUGCGAAAGCGUGGGGAGCAAACAGGGAUUAGAUACC
RNAcentral lists this ribosomal RNA (453 nucleotides) under uncultured bacterium. RNAcentral describes it as "bacterial SSU rRNA". It matches the Rfam family "Bacterial small subunit ribosomal RNA", at positions 340 to 786 of the family's 1533-position model. The record is from RNAcentral.